GAUAGCUUGCUAUCAAUGCUGACGAGCGGCGGACGGGUGAGUAAUGCCUGGGAAUAUGCCCUGAUGUGGGGGAUAACUAUUGGAAACGAUAGCUAAUACCGCAUAAUCUCUUCGGAGCAAAGAGGGGGACCUUCGGGCCUCUCGCGUCAGGAUUAGCCCAGGUGGGAUUAGCUUGUUGGUGGGGUAAUGGCUCACCAAGGCAACGAUCCCUAGCUGGUCUGAGAGGAUGAUCAGCCACACUGGAACUGAGACACGGUCCAGACUCCUACGGGAGGCAGCAGUGGGGAAUAUUGCACAAUGGGGGAAACCCUGAUGCAGCCAUGCCGCGUGUAUGAAGAAGGCCUUCGGGUUGUAAAGUACUUUCAGUUGUGAGGAAGGCGUUGAUGUUAAUAGCUUCAGCGUUUGACGUUAGCAACAGAAGAAGCACCGGCUAACUCCGUGCCAGCAGCCGCGGUAAUACGGAGGGUGCGAGCGUUAAUCGGAAUUACUGGGCGUAAAGCGCAUGCAGGUGGUCUGUUAAGCAAGAUGUGAAAGCCCGGGGCUCAACCUCGGAACAGCAUUUUGAACUGGCAGACUAGAGUACUGUAGA
RNAcentral lists this ribosomal RNA (589 nucleotides) under bacterium 4878K2-B19. Its description in RNAcentral is "bacterial SSU rRNA". It matches the Rfam family "Bacterial small subunit ribosomal RNA", at positions 74 to 655 of the family's 1533-position model. RNAcentral also lists the same sequence under 3 other names. The record is from RNAcentral.